UACAGAGGUGGCAAGCGUUGUUCGGAUUCAUUGGGCGUAAAGGGUCCGUAGGCGGAUUGGAAAGUCAGAUGUGAAAUCCCACAGCUUAACUGUGGAAUUGCAUUUGAAACUUCCAGUCUGGAGUGUGAGAGGGGUGAAGGGAAUUCCCGGUGUAAGGGUGAAAUCUGCAGAGAUCGGGAAGAACACCAGUCGCGAAGGCGCUUCACUGGCUCAUCACUGACGCUGAGGGACGAAAGCUAGGGGAGCGAACGGG
RNAcentral lists this ribosomal RNA (253 nucleotides) under uncultured bacterium. RNAcentral's name for it is "partial 16S ribosomal RNA". It matches the Rfam family "Bacterial small subunit ribosomal RNA", at positions 524 to 776 of the family's 1533-position model. The record is from RNAcentral.